This 191-nucleotide ribosomal RNA is filed under the name Desulfuribacillus stibiiarsenatis. RNAcentral describes it as "partial 23S ribosomal RNA". It matches the Rfam family "Bacterial large subunit ribosomal RNA", at positions 2737 to 2925 of the family's 2925-position model. The record is from RNAcentral. Lineage: Bacteria; Bacillati; Bacillota; Desulfuribacillia; Desulfuribacillales; Desulfuribacillaceae.
AUAGCUGGGUAGCCAAGUUUGGAAGGGAUAAGCGCUGAAAGCAUCUAAGCGCAAAGCCCCCCUCAAGAUAAGAUUUCCCAUAGCAUAAGCUAGUAAGACCCCUUGGAGAUGACGAGGUAGAUAGGUCUGGAGUGUAAGCAUAGUGAUAUGUUAAGCGGACAGAUACUAAUCGGUCGAGGGCUUAACCAAAA